This 85-nucleotide transfer RNA is filed under the name Felis catus (domestic cat). It matches the Rfam family "tRNA". From Rfam's summary of the family: Transfer RNA (tRNA) molecules are approximately 80 nucleotides in length. The record is from Rfam by way of RNAcentral. Lineage: Eukaryota; Metazoa; Chordata; Mammalia; Carnivora; Felidae.
GCCUGGGUGGCUCAGUCAGUUAAGCAUCUGACUUCAGCUCAGGUCGUGAUCUUACGGUUCGUGGGUUCAAGCCCCUCAUCAGGCU